This 482-nucleotide ribosomal RNA is filed under the name uncultured bacterium. RNAcentral describes it as "partial 16S ribosomal RNA". It matches the Rfam family "Bacterial small subunit ribosomal RNA", at positions 30 to 507 of the family's 1533-position model. The record is from RNAcentral.
AUUGAACGCUGGCGGCAUGCUUUACACAUGCAAGUCGAACGGUAACAGGCCGCAAGGUGCUGACGAGUGGCGAACGGGUGAGUAAUGCAUCGGAACGUGCCCAGUCGUGGGGGAUAACUACUCGAAAGAGUAGCUAAUACCGCAUACGAUCUAUGGAUGAAAGCGGGGGACCGUAAGGCCUCGCGCGAUUGGAGCGGCCGAUGUCAGAUUAGGUAGUUGGUGGGGUAAAGGCUCACCAAGCCAACGAUCUGUAGCUGGUCUGAGAGGACGACCAGCCACACUGGGACUGAGACACGGCCCAGACCCCUACGGGAGGCAGCAGUGGGGAAUUUUGGACAAUGGGCGCAAGCCUGAUCCAGCAAUGCCGCGUGCAGGAAGAAGGCCUUCGGGUUGUAAACUGCUUUUGUACGGAACGAAACGGCUCUGGUUAAUACCCGGGGCUAAUGACGGUACCGUAAGAAUAAGCACCGGCUAACUACGUG